This 2398-nucleotide long non-coding RNA is filed under the name Phoenix dactylifera (date palm). RNAcentral describes it as "long non-coding RNA (PDAC_LNC004492)". The record is from RNAcentral. Lineage: Eukaryota; Viridiplantae; Streptophyta; Magnoliopsida; Arecales; Arecaceae.
UAAAAACGGGCGCCAUGGAAGUACAUGCCACUCAGCCAAAGAAAGAUAAUGGAGAGUUGACCAAAAUGAGCACUAAAUACUUUUCGGGAGAUCUCCUCCAAAUCACUGGUAUGACUAUCGAAAUCGUGAGCAUCAGCAUGUAGGUUCCAGAUCCAAGUGGUAGUAUCAGGGCCCUUAGCUAUUGUUCUUGAGAAAUGGCCGGGUCUGGCCCAUUCCUCGAAAGACGUUUUUACAGGAUCCCUAUCUACAACAAUUUUCACUUCUGGUUCCGGCGAACGAAUAAUCAUUAAGUCCNNNNNNNNNNUCUUUCCGGACAACAUAUACAAAGAAACCCGCCAACAGUCAAGUUUUUAGUGAACCUCUGAAAGAUAGAUAUUUUAUUUAUGAUUAGUCCUUUUCUUUCCUAUCCCCCAUCUAUCUAUUUUAUUUUAUUUUAUUUAGCUAUGUCAAUUCCAAUUAUCCCAAGACUUUAUUAUUUGUUUGUCGCAUAAAAAAACUUUUUGAAUGUCCGGUAGAAACCGAUUUUGCUAAAGAAAAAGCUUUUACUGCAGUUAAAUAUCCUUUUUUCUUCCAAAUAUUCCUACGAAUAUGUUUUUUUGAUAUAGAAAUACGUUUUUUUGGAACUGCCAUUCAAAAAAGGGUUACUCAUUUUUAUUUAUUGUUGUAUGUGAAAGACAUAUAUUGUUCGGAAUAGAUCGUUUUUUUAAAUCAUUAUCUAUACUUUAUUCUGUGAAUAAUAGUUUUUUUUUACUUUCAACAUUUAACAUAAAAAACAAAUAACAUAAAAUAAGAAAUAAAUUAUAUAUAUAAUUUAUUAUAUAUAUAUUAUUUUAACCGGCAUGAGCUAAUAGCUUAGUAAAAAUCCUCAUAUAUACACCAGCAUAAAUAAUUUAAAAUUAGAAAAUUAUAAAUAAUUGUUAUCGGAGUAGACACAAAUACCAUAAAAUCAUAUACAAACCAUCCAACAUCACUCAUAUAACCAGCACACGCACAUGCAUAUUAUAUCAUUGGACAAUCAUUAUUUUCAAAUGUGAUGUAGCAUAUAUUAUCAAAGAAAUCUUUCUAUUUAAUAGUAGUUUUAAAUAACUUAUCUUUUAUUUUUCACUAACAGGAUUCAGAUCCGACAAUAGUUAACAUUUUGUUUUUUAGACUAACCAUGGUUAUGCUUUUGCCUAUGACUAGCAAACCAAAAUAUCAUAUUCCUACUCGGUAAAGAGGCUAUCCACAAUGCAUGUUCCUACCCAUGAUUAGAGUUGAUCAUGGGUUGGAAUUGGGCACAGAAAAGACCAAAUUUUAAAUAGGCUCAACCCUAAGCCUAAUUAAAAAUGAAUAGAGUUUAGACCUGGGGCCCGGCCUGUGAUCAGCUCUACCCGUGAUGAGGCUAUCCAUGGUGCCAUUUUUCUGCCUGUGAUAAAGUUAUCCAAAAUACUAUGUUCUUACCUUUGAUGAGGCUAUCUGCAUUAUUGUGGCUAGUCCAAAAAUCACUUUUCUCCACCAUCAGGUUAUUUAAUACGAGUAAUAUAUAAUUUAAUAAUAUAUUUCUUUCGAAACUUCAAUGAAACUAGCAUCCUAUUUCGAGCAAUGGAAAAUCAUCAAUGUCUGACACAUAUAUACUACAUCAUACUGACAAUCAUGAGAGGAACAUAAAAUCAUAUCCAAUGCAAAACUAAAAAUUCUUUAUACAUGAUACAUAAAGUCAUAUCUAUAAAUUUUCAUUAAAUCAGAAACAACUUUUCAACAUCAGCAAAGUAGAGCUUUUGGAAAAAUGUUCCAAAAUGAUGUUCUUCUGGAUGAACAUCUAAAUAUUUCUUAUAGGUUGAAGGGUUGAUCUCCAAGAAACAGGUCCACCAUAUAUGCAGAAAACAUAACUUGUAGUAGACCUUCUUAUAUUCAGAUCACCUGCAAAGUUAGCAGCAACAAAUUCUUCUAAUGGGUCAGAAAACUCACUUAAGACAUUGGAGUUACUCCUAGGUUCAUCUUGCUGCCCAAAAACCAGACCAAGCCUUUGAGUUCCUUGAAGAUAUCGAAAGAUCCACUUCAAUGCCUUCCAGUGAUCCUUUCUAGGGUUUGCCAUGUACCUGUUUACCUAGCUUACUGCAUGUGCUAUGUCUGACCUACAACACAUCAUAGCAUAUAUCACGCUGCCCACUGCACUGGCAUAUGGAACUCUCUCCAUGUACUCUUUCUCUUCAUCUGUUUGGGAGAACUGUGGCUUAGAAAGAGAUAUGUGGCUUGCUAAAGGUGUUCCAACUGGUUUGGCCUUAUUCAUCCCAAACCUCUCUAACAUCUUCUGAAUGUAUCAUUUCAAUGAUAAGUGAAGAAUACCCUUGCUCCUAUCUCGGCGAAUUUCCAUCCCAAGUAUCUUUUUGGAUGGACCCAAGUUCUUCAUCUCAAACUC